Molecule: ribosomal RNA, 852 nt
Filed under: uncultured bacterium
Lineage: Bacteria
Description: bacterial SSU rRNA
Rfam family: Bacterial small subunit ribosomal RNA
Source: RNAcentral
GGCUCAGAUUGAACGCUGGCUGGCAGGCUUAACACAUGCAAGUCGUGCGGUAACAGAGGAGAGCUUGCUCUCUUGCUGACGAGCGGCGGACGGGUGAGUAAUGUAUGGGGAUCUGCCUGAUGGAGGGGGAUAACUACUGGAAACGGUGGCUAAUACCAGCGUAAUGUCGCAAGACCAAAGAGGGGGACCUUCGGGCCUCUCGCCAUCAGAUGAACCCAUAUGGGAUUAGCUAGUAGGUAAGGUAAUGGCUUACCUAGGCGACGAUCUCUAACUGGUCUGAGAGGAUGACCAGUCACACUGGGACUGAGACACGGCCCAGACUCUUACGGGAGGCAGCAGUGGGGAAUAUUGGACAAUGGGGGCAACCCUGAUCCAGCCAUGCCGCGUGUGUGAAGAAGGCCUUCGGGUUGUAAAGCACUUUCAGUGAGGAGAAAGGUGGUUGUGUUAACAGCGCAACUAAUAUGAUGUUACUCACAGAAGAAGCACCGGCUAACUCCGUGCCAGCAGCCGCGGUUAAUACGGAGGGUGCAAGCGUUAAUCGGAAUUACUGGGCGUAAAGCGCACGCAGGCGGUUAAUUAAGUUGGGUGUGAAAGCCCCGGGCUCAACCUGGGAAUUGCAUUCAAGACUGGUUAGCUAGAGCCUCGUAGAGGGGGGUAGAAUUCCAUGUGUAGCGGUGAAAUGCGUAGAGAUAUGGAGGAAUACCGGUGGCGAAGGCGGCCCACUGGACGAAGACUGACGCUCAGGUGCGAAAGCGUGGGGAGCAAACAGGAUUAGAUACCCUGGUAGUCCACGCUGUAAACGAUGUCGAUUUGGAGUCUGUGACCAUGAGUCGUGGGUCUCCGGAGCUAACG